AAACCCGUCGCCCUCCUUCAAGGGGUCCUUUAGAUUAUGCGGAGGCAGGAGAGCAAGUAUCCGAAGGCGAACUUAGAUUAACCUGGGGCGCAGCUCAGGUCACAGGAAAAACAAUUAAAAUGUGUUCUUCCCCCCCCCCCCACCUUCACUCAUUUUCUUUUUAUUGGAGAAAAAAAAAACCACCCCAAAUUUGGCCUUUUAAUGUGUUGUGUUUCCUCUAUUGAUUGUUUAGCUAGUGAUUUUGCCAACUUCCUGGAUGUUGGUUUCUGGUUCUGCACAAAAGAGCCACAUUUCCUUUUGGAACCGGGACCAGGAGAGAGCAGCGACACUGGAAGUGUUAAAGGUAAAAGAGGAGAGAAAAACACACCCAAACAAACCAGAAGACGCAUUUAGCAUCCAGUCUUCAACCCUAAACAGACUGUGCGGUCAGGGGAGGAAAAGAGCCUGCGGGACACAGUGCGUUCCCCCCUCCCGCUCCCCCCACGCGCUUCUCUGGGAAGGAGCCUGCGAUCCUGGGGGCUCCACUGAGGGGUCAGCCAGCACGUGUAAGCGGCCGUCAGGAGAGAGAAGCCUGCGAUCCUUUGUGCAAACAAGUGCCAGGAGCCCAAGUCCCUCCUGUCUCUCAGAAAUGAGCUCUUCUGAGCCCUUCGGGGAAACCAGCGCUUGAGGCCACCUUUCAGUGGCCUUGCCGGGGCCGCGGCGGAUUGGAAGGCGUCUGGGCAGGAGGCACGGGAGGGCCCCAAACAUUCUGGGCUGGACCCCGCAACGAGGCGUCGCUGUGAGGGAGACCGAGCGCGUUCCCCUCCCGGGAGCUGUCGCAGGGCCACAGAGCAGGAGCUGUCACAGCUGCAGUCCCAGGACGCUUGCAGAUGUGGCCGCAGAUCCAGCCUGGGCAAGGGCUCCACCAGCAACCCAUGCUGCCGUUGAGCCACAGUGGCUCUCUCUGACGUCCUAGAGCACCCCACUCCCUUGGAACCCUAAUCUUGGACACUCAGUCAUUUUUUUUAAAUCCUCACCCCAGGAUAUGUUUUUAUUGAUUUUAGAGAGAGAGGGCGGGAGAGAGAGUAGCGUCGAUUGGAGAGAGAAACAUCGAUCCAUUGCCUCCUGCACGCACGGAGACCAGGGGUCAAACCGGCAACCCGGGUGUGUGUUCUGAUCGGGAACUGAACCUGUAACCUUUUGUUUUGAUUAAUGAGUUGACUGUCUCCCCUGCCCAGAGUCUAAGCGUCAGGCUUGUUGCAUUCUUACGACAGGCCUGGUAUUUAUCCAGAGUCUGCAGUGUGGACAACCGGAGGGUGUCUCCCAACAAGUCACUGGGGUAGGGAAUUCCUGAGGUGUCACCCCUCGUCUGGAGGGGUAGAGAGGACUGGGAUUUGAAUCCCGGCCAGUGGGUCACAGACAACCACAUUCUUAAUCAGGGCCUCAUAGUGCUUCGCUGAUCAAUGUUUGUUGAGUGAAUAAAUGAACCGGUGAAUUUGAGAGGCAGUGGAGUGUAACGCCUAGAGCAAAGGUUUGGGGCAGGGCAGAUUUGGGUUCAAAUGGGGCUCUGCCCCUCCUUCACAGGUGACCCUCAGUGGAUUCCUUAAAUUUCCCGAGCCUUGGUUUCCUCCUAUAUAAAAUGGAGCUGGUAAUCUUUCUUUUUCAGGUUGUGAGGGUUUGAGAUUAUGAAUGAAAAGCCUGGGCCCCGUGGAAUAUGAUGGACGGAAGAUUGCAUCAUGAAUGUCUCUGGGUCAAUUCCCAGAAGCCCAGAAAUAACCAGCCAGAGGGGCAAGGCCACCCGGCAUCGCGUCUCGGUCAGCCACAAGCGGGGUGACCCUGGGUGAGUCUCUUGACUAGGCUGGGUCUUGGUUUUUAUUCUUCUGUCAUGGAAGGAAUGAGAGCCGGGCAGUGGUAAAGACUGAAUAAAUGUCUGCUCAGCAUCUCCACGAGGGCACUCCCAUGUCCUGCUGCUCUCCCAUGUUGCCUUGCCCUAGAAAGUGUGGCCCGGGAUCAGCAGCAUCAGUUGGCAUGCCCUGGAGCCAGUUAGAAAUGCAGAGUCUCAGGCCCUGCCCAGAGCUCUGAGCCAGAACCAGGGCUUUGUGAGCCUGGCCUGGCCGUUGGAGAAGCACUGCCCCGGGGCACUCGCCAGACAGAGGCCACCUGUCCCCGGGAGGCGAUUGCCUAGUAGUCCACUCUCUCUGAACCUGCCUACCCUCAGCCCCUGCCCUCGUCCCUCCCACGCCACUCUGCACUGCGGGGGCUAAGAGGCUGCAUUUCACAGGCUUUCUGCCCAUCACCCAGCUUCUGGCUGGGUCUGGCUGGCGAAAGGCACUGGUGAGAGCUUGGAGGGGGGUCUGGAGGAGGGAGAAGCCAGCAGGGCUCCUCCCUCUCCUCCUGCUCACCGUCUCAGAGGUGGUGCUGCUCGCACCGACAGGCUCUCACCGACCCUGGCUCCUCUAUGUCCCUUCAGUCCUGGGGUGCUAGCAAAUUCCUGACCAUGCUUAGCCCCUAGGCUCUCAGCUUCUCCAUCGCCAGAGCAACUGGUUCUAUGUAUUGAAUUCUCUUUGUUUUAAAUACUCAAGGAAGUUUCUGUUUUUCUUGGUUGGAUCUAGUGAUCCACCCAGGCUCAUGCUGCAAGGGUCUUGGAGUCAGAGGGUUUGGACAAGAGUUCCAGCUCUCCCGCUGACUUGUGCUGCACCCUGGACAGGUCACUCUUCUCAUGCCCAGGAUAGGAACUGGGCUCAGCGAUGGCCCCUCCUCUCCCGCUCCAGCAGUCCCUCUGGCCCUCGCCCAGGCCUUCCUAACCUGUGGCAGGUGGAGUGCAUAAAUGGCCUUAGGUCUUCACGCCUUCCUGGGUCCAAGCCCUUUGUCAAAGAUUUUGUAGCUCCUUCUACCAAGAGAUGGGUAGUUUUCUUGUCCUUGGACUCUGGGACUCACCGUCUGGUUUGCUUUGCUCAAUGGGAUGUUAGCAGACAUCACACAAGCAGAAGCUUGGAGAAACACCUGCUUCCACUAGCGCUCUCAAGCCUGUGCCAUCAGCAUGGGAAAUGCUGUAUUGUCCCAAGGAAGGAUGAGAGACAUGUAGAGCCUAGUCGCCCACUCACUGCAGUGGAUACCUACCUGACCACCCCACACGCACAGGCAAUAAAUGCUAUUCUCGUGUGCCGU
Non-coding RNA from Miniopterus natalensis, 3147 nucleotides. The record is from RefSeq and is a predicted model, not a curated record. Lineage: Eukaryota; Metazoa; Chordata; Mammalia; Chiroptera; Miniopteridae.